This 536-nucleotide ribosomal RNA is filed under the name Tor douronensis (river carp). RNAcentral describes it as "partial 16S ribosomal RNA". It matches the Rfam family "Bacterial large subunit ribosomal RNA", at positions 1918 to 2605 of the family's 2925-position model. The record is from RNAcentral. RNAcentral also lists the same sequence under 1 other name. Lineage: Eukaryota; Metazoa; Chordata; Actinopteri; Cypriniformes; Cyprinidae.
ACAAGUUUAACGGCCGCGGUAUUUUGACCGUGCAAAGGUAGCGCAAUCACUUGUCUUUUAAAUAGAGACCCGUAUGAAUGGCUAAACGAGGGCUUAACUGUCUCCCUUUUCAAGUCAGUGAAAUUGAUCUACCCGUGCAGAAGCGGGUAUAACAAUACAAGACGAGAAGACCCUUUGGAGCUUAAGGUACAAAACUCAACCACACCAAGCAACUUAAUAAAAAGUAAAAACUUUGUGAAACAUGAGGUUUUACCUUCGGUUGGGGCGACCGCGGAGGAAAAUAAAGCCUCCAAGUGGACCGGGACAAACUCCUAAAACCAAGAGAAACAUCUCUAAGCCACAGAACAUCUGACCAAACAUGAUCCGGCCACCAGGACCGAUCAACGAACCAAGUUACCCUAGGGAUAACAGCGCAAUCCUCUCCCAGAGUCCAUAUCGACGAGGGGGUUUACGACCUCGAUGUUGGAUCAGGACAUCCUAAUGGUGCAGCCGCUAUUAAGGGUUCGUUUGUUCAACGAUUAAAGUCCUACGUGAUC